UACGAAGGGGGCUAGCGUUGCUCGGAAUUACUGGGCGUAAAGCGCACGUAGGCGGCUUUCUAAGUCGGGGGUGAAAUCCUGGAGCUCAACUCCAGAACUGCCUUCGAUACUGGAAAGCUCGAGUCCGGGAGAGGUGAGUGGAACUGCGAGUGUAGAGGUGAAAUUCGUAGAUAUCCGCAAGAACACCAGUGGCGAAGGCGGCUCACUGGCCCGGUACUGACGCUGAGGUGCGAAAGCGUGGGGAGCAAACAGG
This 253-nucleotide ribosomal RNA is filed under the name uncultured bacterium. Its description in RNAcentral is "partial 16S ribosomal RNA". It matches the Rfam family "Bacterial small subunit ribosomal RNA", at positions 524 to 776 of the family's 1533-position model. The record is from RNAcentral.